Molecule: ribosomal RNA, 1867 nt
Filed under: bioreactor metagenome
Description: bacterial LSU rRNA
Rfam family: Bacterial large subunit ribosomal RNA
Source: RNAcentral
AGCCCGUUAAUGGGUGAUGGCGUGCCUUUUGUAGAAUGAACCGGCGAGUUACGAUAACGCGCGAGGUUAAGCCGAUGAGGCGGAGCCGUAGCGAAAGCGAGUCUGAACAGGGCGUUCAGUGCGUUGUCGUAGACCCGAAACCAGGUGAUCUACCCAUGUCCAGGAUGAAGGUCAGGUAACACUGACUGGAGGUCCGAACCCACGCACGUUGAAAAGUGCGGGGAUGAGGUGUGGGUAGCGGUGAAAUGCCAAUCGAACCUGGAGAUAGCUGGUUCUCCCCGAAAUAGCUUUAGGGCUAGCCUCGAGGUUGAGAGUUCUGGAGGUAGAGCACUGAUUGGACUAGGGGCCCCCACAGGGUUACCGAAUUCAGUUAAACUCCGAAUGCCAGCAACUUAUACUCGGGAGUCAGACUGCGAGUGAUAAGAUCCGUAGUCAAGAGGGAAACAGCCCAGACCGCCAGCUAAGGUCCCAAAGUGUAUGUUAAGUGGAAAAGGAUGUGGCGCUGCCUAGACAGCUAGGAUGUUGGCUUAGAAGCAGCCACCAUUCAAAGAGUGCGUAAUAGCUCACUAGUCGAGUGGCGCCGCGCCGAAAAUGUAACGGGGCUAAACAUACCACCGAAGCUGCGGAUUCCGUAAGGAAUGGUAGGGGAGCGUUCCAAACCGCUGUGAAGCUGUACCGGAAGGAGCAGUGGAGCGUUUGGAAGUGAGAAUGCCGGUGUGAGUAGCGAAAAGAGGGGUGAGAAUCCCCUCCGUCGAAAGCCCAAGGUUUCCUGAGGAAGGCUCGUCCGCUCAGGGUUAGUCUGGACCUAAGCCGAGGCCGAAAGGCGUAGGCGAUGGAUAACAGGUUGAUAUUCCUGUACCGCCGAUCCACCGUUUGAACAAUGGGGGGACGCAGGAGGAUAGUGACGCAUGCGGAUGGAAGUGCAUGUGCAAGUUUCAAGACCGUCUGAUUGGCAAAUCCGUCAGGCAUCAAAGUCAAGGAACGAUGCGGAGUCCCGUAGGGACGUAGGUCACGAUUUCACACUGCCAAGAAAAGCCUCUAGUGAGGGGGAAGGCGCCAGUACCGUAAACCGACACAGGUAGGCGAGAUGAGAAUUCUAAGACGCGCGGGAUAACUCUCGUUAAGGAACUCGGCAAAAUGGUCCCGUAACUUCGGGAGAAGGGACGCUCUACACAUGUAGAGCCGCAGUGAAUAGGCCCAAACGACUGUUUAGCAAAAACACAGGUCUCUGCUAAAUCGCAAGAUGACGUAUAGGGGCUGACGCCUGCCCGGUGCUGGAAGGUUAAGGGGAUGGGUUAGCGCAAGCGAAGCUUUGAACCGAAGCCCCAGUAAACGGCGGCCGUAACUAUAACGGUCCUAAGGUAGCGAAAUUCCUUGUCGGGUAAGUUCCGACCCGCACGAAAGGCGUAACGAUUUGGGCACUGUCUCAACGAGAGACUCGGUGAAAUCAUAGUACCUGUGAAGAUGCAGGUUACCCGCGACAGGACGGAAAGACCCCGUGGAGCUUUACUGUAGCCUGAUAUUGAAAUUUGGCACAGCUUGUACAGGAUAGGUAGGAGCCUUUGAAACGUGAGCGCUAGCUUACGUGGAGGCGCUGGUGGGAUACUACCCUGGCUGUGUUGACUUUCUAACCCGCACCAUUUGAUCAUGGUGGGAGACAGUGUCAGGCGGGCAGUUUGACUGGGGCGGUCGCCUCCUAAAGAGUAACGGAGGCGCUCAAAGGUUCCCUCAGAAUGGUUGGAAAUCAUUCGCAGAGUGUAAAGGCACAAGGGAGCUUGACUGCGAGACCUACAAGUCGAGCAGGGUCGAAAGACGGGCUUAGUGAUCCGGUGGUUCCGCAUGGAAGGGCCAUCGCUCAACGGAUAAA